This 27-nucleotide non-coding RNA is filed under the name Homo sapiens (human). Lineage: Eukaryota; Metazoa; Chordata; Mammalia; Primates; Hominidae. The record is from RNAcentral.
UUAGCUUGUGGAGAAGGUCCUAACUCA